CCUACGGGAGGCAGCAGUGGGGAAUAUUGGACAAUGGGGGGAACCCUGAUCCAGCCAUGCCGCGUGUGUGAAGAAGGCCCUCGGGUUGUAAAGCACUUUCAGUGAGGAAGAACGCCUGGUGGUUAAUACCCAUCAGGAAAGACAUCACUCACAGAAGAAGCACCGGCUAACUCCGUGCCAGCAGCCGCGGUAAUACGGAGGGUGCGAGCGUUAAUCGGAAUUACUGGGCGUAAAGCGCGCGUAGGUGGCUUGAUAAGCCGGUUGUGAAAGCCCCGGGCUCAACCUGGGAACGGCAUCCGGAACUGUCAAGCUAGAGUGCAGGAGAGGAAGGUAGAAUUCCCGGUGUAGCGGUGAAAUGCGUAGAGAUCGGGAGGAAUACCAGUGGCGAAGGCGGCCUUCUGGACUGACACUGACACUGAGGUGCGAAAGCGUGGGUAGCAAACAGGAUUAGAUACCCGUGUAGC
RNAcentral lists this ribosomal RNA (464 nucleotides) under Vreelandella stevensii. RNAcentral's name for it is "partial 16S ribosomal RNA". It matches the Rfam family "Bacterial small subunit ribosomal RNA", at positions 338 to 794 of the family's 1533-position model. Lineage: Bacteria; Pseudomonadati; Pseudomonadota; Gammaproteobacteria; Oceanospirillales; Halomonadaceae. The record is from RNAcentral.